GAUGAACGCUGGCGGCGUGCUUAACACAUGCAAGUCGAACGGAAAGGCCCAAGCUUGCUUGGGUACUCGAGUGGCGAACGGGUGAGUAACACGUGGGUGAUCUGCCCUGCACUUCGGGAUAAGCCUGGGAAACUGGGUCUAAUACCGGAUAGGACCACAUUUUGGAUGGUGUGGUAGAAAGUUUUUCGGUGUGGGAUGAGCUCGCGGCCUAUCAGCUUGUUGGUGGGGUAAUGGCCUACCAAGGCGUCGACGGGUAGCCGGCCUGAGAGGGUGUACGGCCACAUUGGGACUGAGAUACGGCCCAGACUCCUACGGGAGGCAGCAGUGGGGAAUAUUGCACAAUGGGCGCAAGCCUGAUGCAGCGACGCCGCGUGGGGGAUGACGGCCUUCGGGUUGUAAACUCCUUUCGCUAGGGACGAAGCGUUUUUGUGACGGUACCUGGAGAAGAAGCACCGGCUAACUACGUG
This 467-nucleotide ribosomal RNA is filed under the name uncultured bacterium. Its description in RNAcentral is "partial 16S ribosomal RNA". It matches the Rfam family "Bacterial small subunit ribosomal RNA", at positions 28 to 507 of the family's 1533-position model. The record is from RNAcentral.